GGACGUAGCAAUACGUCAGUGGCGAACGGGUGAGUAAUGUAUCGCUAACGUGCCCCCGAGUCAGGGAUAGCUGCCCGAAAGGGCAGGUAAUGCCUGAUGAGACCACGAAGAGGCAUCUCUUUGUGCUCAAAGCAGCAAUGCGCUCAGGGAGCGGGCGAUAUCGUAUCAGCUAGUUGGUGAGGUAACGGCUCACCAAGGCGACGACGCGUAGCCGGACUGAGAGGUUGGCCGGCCACAUUGGGACUGAGACACUGCCCAGACUCCUACGGGGGGCUGCAGUAACGAAUCUUCCGCAAUGCACGCAAGUGUGACGGAGCGACGCCGCGUGUGGGACGAAGUCCUUCGGGAUGUAAACCACUGUCAGGGGUUACCAAGUUCUGAGGAGCCCCAGAGGAAGGCACGGCUAACUCUGUGCCAGCAGCCGCGGUAAGACAGAGGUGCCAAGCGUUAGGCGGAAUCACUGGGCUUAAAGCGUGUGUAGGCGGAUCGUUAAGUACCUUGUGAAAUCCCACGGCUCAACCGUGGAACUGCUGGGUAUACUGGCGAUCUUGAGCCACCUAGGGGCGAGCGGAACAAGCGGUGGAGCGGUGAAAUGCGUAGAUAUCGCUUGGAACGCCAACGGUGAAAACAGCUCGCUGGGGGUGUGCUGACGCUGAGACACGAAAGCCAGGGGAGCGAACGGGAUUAGAUACCCCGGUAGUCCUGGCCCUAAACGAUGUCGACUAGAUCGUAGUGCCUCUGACGGUAUUACGGUCGAAGCAAAAGUGCUAAGUCGACCGCCUGGGAAGUACGGUCGCAAGGCUAAAACUC
This 810-nucleotide ribosomal RNA is filed under the name uncultured Aquificia bacterium. RNAcentral describes it as "bacterial SSU rRNA". It matches the Rfam family "Bacterial small subunit ribosomal RNA", at positions 68 to 902 of the family's 1533-position model. Lineage: Bacteria; Pseudomonadati; Aquificota; Aquificia. The record is from RNAcentral.